ACGAAAAUAUGUAUCUAAUUGAAGGCAUUGGUGUCUAAGAUACAGGCCAGGCCUAGUUUAGACACUAAUGUGCUGGGCAUAAUGUUACAUUACAGGAACCACCACCUCCACCCAUCAAACCGAAACACAGCCAUGCAAACACAACUGUUUUACACGAUUGAGAUAGAGGUGCCUAAGCAAAGUACUUUUGUACAAAAUCGCCCUGUGGUUAAUAUCCAUUGCCAAGCUCGCAGCGUUGGUCUUUCACUCCAAUGGUUGUGAGAUCUUAAAUCUACUAUAAUGACUUGACAAUUGUACGGUAACAUAUUCUACUAAUAAAAUUCUUUAUAUGAUAAUCGAAAUAAUAUCUUUUUGAGCGAAUAUUUAGAUGCAUACAGAAUGACAGGUCAGGUCUUAUAAUAGAUUUGUAAAUUUUACCCUUCAGUUUGAGGCCAUUCGGGGGUCGUAUACUGUCCCCGAAACCUGUUGUCAUUUUAGCCAUUCACUACUAACUCUGUGUUUUUUACGAUCUCUAUAAAAUCUUUUUUUUUUUAUAUCUUUUUUAUUUAGAUGCUUUUAUCCUAUAAGGAUAUGUCAGCCUCAUCGUAUCCUAAUUUUAAAAAAUACCUCACAUACUUAAAACAUUAAUACAUAAAUACUAUACAAUCUUAUUAAAUUAUUCCUUUAUAAUUACGAAGUCAUGUAAAGGCCAAAUCAUUUAUUGUAGUAGAUUUAAAAUCUCACAACUUUUUGUAAUGAAAGUACGUUGUGUAGACUUGGUAAUUUUUUACAUUUUAUAUUUUUGAUGGCAUCCAUAUUUUUUCAGGUACGGAAUCCAAAAUCAAUACAUGAAUAUAAAGUCAUAUCAUAAUUAUGUAUGAUUAUGACCCAAUAAUCUAAAUCCAAUGAUUAAUUACGACGUCGGGGGUAUAUGGGAGAGCUUUGAAUCGAAGCGUUUGGUGUUCCAUUGUUUCUGCCAAUCCUAAUGGAAGACAGGCGCGACAGAUAUGUAGUUUGUUAUAGUAGAUACCUAUCAAGUAUUACGAGACACCCUCAACGGCGAUCGGAUCGGAUCACCUAGCGUGACGCAAGAAGGUGCGCUACCGAGAAAGACACCUGCGUCGAGUCAGUAUUUCAAUUCCCGCAGCAAAAAUAUCCAUUUCCUUUAUGUUUGAUUUUAUAUAACUUCACUUACGGAUCACACAUCGAUCUGAAGACACUUAUUAUUGUAAUAAUUAAUUUUAGAAUUAAAUUUAGUUAUAUUUAUAGAAUUGGGUUUUUUUUUGGGUCUUCCGCCAGCGACUUCAAUAACUAGUUUCCUAAUUCACUCCCAUAGCAAUCACCAUAUU
Galleria mellonella (greater wax moth) is the source of this 1328-nucleotide long non-coding RNA. RefSeq lists it as uncharacterized. NCBI's taxonomy places the organism in Eukaryota, Metazoa, Arthropoda, Insecta, Lepidoptera, Pyralidae. The transcript has 3 exons. The record is from RefSeq and is a predicted model, not a curated record.